UUUUCCCUUCAGAAAAAAUAGCAAGAGUUUGAGACUUGGGUUUUCUUCUUUGCUAUUACCUUUGACAUCAUAUGAUAAAUAACUUUAAUUUUAAUAAAAAAUCAGUCACUAUAAAGAUUAUGGUAACUUUACGGUCAAUGGAGAUGAAAUAUGUGAUCAGAAUUUGCAGGAAAGGAAAUAUGGACAGGUUCAAUUUGCCGUAAGUCUCAUCUAACUAAAAGUCUAUUUCAUGUAACCUGAUAAAUUCAGUAUACUUUUAUUUAGCAUUCUAGUUUCUGUACCUUGGAGAAAGAACUACUCUAAGUAAUUGGGUGCUUUUAUAAAAGAUGGGCUGAUAUUAAUAUGAAUAGAGAUGAGGAUAGGGGACCACCAAACCACUUAUUAAGUUGGGCCUAGAUACAUUAGAGAAUAGAGAGAAACUCUACCCAAAAAAACAUUGGCAAGAAAGAAAGAAAGUUACAUAAGAGACACCUUGGGAGAAAUCUUAGGAGCUUGUUAAUAGUGGAAUGUUAGGAUAAGAUUUAAUUAGAGGAGAAAACUCUUUCUUUAUUUGCACUAAUGAAAUUUAUCAUAGGAAGGUUGAUUUGGUUGGAACUAAUGUGUGUUUGUGUGUUUUUUGGGGCGGUUGGGAGAGGGGGUGCAGGGGGUACCAUGGCCCCCUAGUACCACCCUUGUAUAUACUCAAUCUCAUUCAUGAGCUAAAUUAAAUUAGCCUUCAAUUAUAAUAGGAAAACACAGGCAUGCAAGAGAAAAGAGUUACUAACAACAUCACCACUCCAUCGAGCAGCCACAUCAAGAGCUUCACCUAGCACACCGCUAAACUUGGGACGGAGCACUGAUAACAAUCCAUGACCCCGUCUUUUUUGAAAGUUAAGCUGGAGCUCUGCCUGCAUGUACACAAGUAUUCUUUGGAUUAAGAAUGGUUAGAUGU
RNAcentral lists this long non-coding RNA (931 nucleotides) under Phoenix dactylifera (date palm). RNAcentral describes it as "long non-coding RNA (PDAC_LNC016977)". Lineage: Eukaryota; Viridiplantae; Streptophyta; Magnoliopsida; Arecales; Arecaceae. The record is from RNAcentral.